This 43-nucleotide ribosomal RNA is filed under the name Begonia chitoensis. RNAcentral describes it as "partial 28S ribosomal RNA". The record is from RNAcentral. Lineage: Eukaryota; Viridiplantae; Streptophyta; Magnoliopsida; Cucurbitales; Begoniaceae.
GCGACCCCGAGUGAGGCAGGAUUACCCGCUGAAUUUAAGCAUA